UAGAUUGAAAUGUAAUCAAGGUGUCAGC
This 28-nucleotide small RNA is filed under the name Bombyx mori (domestic silkworm). RNAcentral's name for it is "ovarian small RNA-3036". Lineage: Eukaryota; Metazoa; Arthropoda; Insecta; Lepidoptera; Bombycidae. The record is from RNAcentral.